Long non-coding RNA from Dendroctonus ponderosae (mountain pine beetle), 239 nucleotides. RefSeq lists it as uncharacterized. The transcript is spliced from 2 exons. The record is from RefSeq and is a predicted model, not a curated record. Lineage: Eukaryota; Metazoa; Arthropoda; Insecta; Coleoptera; Curculionidae.
GAACAUACCGGGUGUACGUGACAACUGUUCCUAUGCAACUUAUUGUCAAGUUCACCCAAGUACGAAACGAGGUCAUGCUACACAUGCAGUUUCCAAUUCACCUCCUGUAAUUAGCUUGGCAUUUCCUGCCGCCCCAUAAGGGAAUGGUUAGGGGCCAACCUAGAGCCGUUACGUACCUUCUCCAGCUCCUUCUCGAUCUCUCCAGCCCUAAUUACAAGGGGCCCCCUAACCGCGUACUC